This 235-nucleotide ribosomal RNA is filed under the name uncultured Candidatus Saccharibacteria bacterium. Its description in RNAcentral is "partial 16S ribosomal RNA". It matches the Rfam family "Bacterial small subunit ribosomal RNA", at positions 584 to 818 of the family's 1533-position model. Lineage: Bacteria; Candidatus Saccharimonadota. The record is from RNAcentral.
CAAGUUGGUAGUGAAAUUUUUCGGCUCAACCGAAUAACCGCUACCAAAACUGCUAAGCUAGAGCACGAGAGAGGUAACUGGAAUUUCUAGUGUAGGAGUGAAAUCCGUAGAUAUUAGAAGGAACACCGAUGGCGUAGGCAGGUUACUGGCUCGUUGCUGACACUCAGGCACGAAAGCGUGGGGAGCGAACGGGAUUAGAUACCCCGGUAGUCCACGCCGUAAACGAUGGAUGCUA